RNAcentral lists this ribosomal RNA (771 nucleotides) under Triticum aestivum (bread wheat). RNAcentral's name for it is "partial small subunit ribosomal RNA". The record is from RNAcentral. Lineage: Eukaryota; Viridiplantae; Streptophyta; Magnoliopsida; Poales; Poaceae.
AUGCCUCGAUGCGCCCUUCUGUCAGGAGGAGAUUUGGGAGGCAGUCAAGCGGAUGCCGGCGCGCAAAGCGCCCGGGCCGGACGGCUUCACCGAGGAGUUCCUGCGCGCUUGCUGGAGCAUCAUCCGGCAGGAUGUCUGGGACGUGUUCGAGCUGCUCUACGCUCUACGAGGGCGCGGGUUCAGCAAGCUCAACCAAGCGCUGUUGACCCUGCUGCCCAAACGCGCGGAUGCCCACAAGCUCGGCGACUAUCGACCGAUAUGCCUCAUCCACAUCGUGGCCAAGAUCUUCGCGAAGGUCCUAUCCUUGCGCCUUGCUCCCAAGCUCGACACCCUUGUCAGCCGCAACCAAAACGCGUUCAUCACCGGGCGGAGUCUCCACGACAACUUCAUUCUCGUCCGGCAAUCCCUCAGGACGCUGCAUCAACUGGGCGCACCGAAGAUCAUGCUCAAGCUCGAUCUCACGCGUGCCUUCGACUCCAUCUCCUGGCCCUUCCUCUUCGAGGUUCUGCGCCAGUAUGGAUUUGGGGACAGAUUCAGAGAGUGGCUGGCCAUUUUGCUGUCCUCGGUGAGCACCCGCGUCAUGCUCAAUGGUGUCCCCAGCCCGCCAAUCUGGCAUCGCCGCGGUCUGAGACAGGGCGAUUCCACCUCCCCGCAACUCUUCGUGCUCGCAGUGGACACACUUGGGAGGCUGAUGCGUCGCGCCCUCCAGACAGGCAUCCUCCAGCAGCUGCACCCCCGGCGCGCCAUCCCGACAAUCUCUCUCUACGCUGA